UGGGGAAUCUUGCACAAUGGGGGAAACCCUGAUGCAGCGACGCCGCGUGAACGAUGAAGCCCUUCGGGGUGUAAAGUUCUUUCGACAGGAACGAUAGUGACGGUACCUGGAGAAGAAGCUGCGGCUAACUACGUGCCAGCAGCCGCGGUAAUACGUAGGCAGCGAGCGUUGUUCGGAGUUACUGGGCGUAAAGAGUGCGUAGGCGGCGAGCCAAGUUUGGUGUGAAAUCUCCCGGCUUAACCGGGAGGGUGCGCCGAAAACUGGUUGGCUGGAGUAUGGGAGAGGAAAGCGGAAUUCCUGGUGUAGCGGUGAAAUGCGUAGAUAUCAGGAGGAACACCUGCGGUGUAGACAGCUUUCUGGACCAAAACUGACGCUGAGGCACGAAAGCGUGGGUAGCAAACA
This 402-nucleotide ribosomal RNA is filed under the name uncultured bacterium. RNAcentral's name for it is "bacterial SSU rRNA". It matches the Rfam family "Bacterial small subunit ribosomal RNA", at positions 355 to 774 of the family's 1533-position model. The record is from RNAcentral.